RNAcentral lists this ribosomal RNA (775 nucleotides) under uncultured Rhizophagus. RNAcentral's name for it is "SSU rRNA". It matches the Rfam family "Eukaryotic small subunit ribosomal RNA", at positions 338 to 1114 of the family's 1831-position model. Lineage: Eukaryota; Fungi; Glomeromycota; Glomeromycetes; Glomerales; Glomeraceae. The record is from RNAcentral.
GGCCUACCNUGGUGGUAACGGGUAACGGGGUGUUAGGGCACGACACCGGAGAGGGAGCCUGAGAAACGGCUACCACAUCCAAGGAUGGCAGCAGGCGCGCAAAUUACCCAGUCCCGACACGGGGAGGUAGUGACAAUAAAUAACAAUACGGGGUUCUUUCGGAUCUCGUAAUUGGAAUGAGUACAAUUUAAAUCUCUUAACGAGGAACAAUUGGAGGGCAAGUCUGGUGCCAGCAGCCGCGGUAAUUCCAGCUCCAAUAGCGUAUAUUAAAGUUGUUGCAGUUAAAAAGCUCGUAGUUGAAUUUCGGGAUCAGUAGGUUGGUCGUGCCACUGGUAUGCACUGGCCUUACUGAUUCCUCCUUCUUGUAGAACCGUAAUGCCAUUAAGUUGGUGUUGCGGGGAAACAGGACUGUUACUUUGAAAAAAUUAGAGUGUUUAAAGCAGGCUAACGCUUGAAUACAUUAGCAUGGAAUAAUGAAAUAGGACGUUCGAUCCUAUUUUGUUGGUUUCUAGGAUUGACGUAAUGAUUAAUAGGGAUAGUUGGGGGCAUUAGUAUUCAAUUGUCAGAGGUGAAAUUCUUGGAUUUAUUGAAGACUAACUACUGCGAAAGCAUUUGCCAAGGAUGUUUUCAUUAAUCAAGAACGAAAGUUAGGGGAUCGAAGACGAUCAGAUACCGUCGUAGUCUUAACCAUAAACUAUGCCGACUAGGGAUCGGAUGAUGUUAAUUUUUUAAUGACUCAUUCGGCGCCUUACGGGAAACCAAAGUGUUUGGGUUC